Non-coding RNA from Zalophus californianus (California sea lion), 514 nucleotides. Lineage: Eukaryota; Metazoa; Chordata; Mammalia; Carnivora; Otariidae. The record is from the annotation of a RefSeq genome assembly.
UUCCUGGAAAAGCCACUCCAUUUUGAGUUUCAGGCCUAGAGCGUCUGUUACUUAUUGCCACCUUAUAGACCUGGAUCCUGUUCUCCUGACCCUGACCCACUGCCUCACUGGAGAAAACCUGUGGGGCCAGGGGAUGGGGCCAUUUUCCAUCCUGUGGGGCUGGGCACUCGUGGCUACCGUGAGUACAGAUGCCAUUGUGAGCUUGGUGGAGCAAAGGCCCAGGUGGGUCCUGGUAGCUCGCGGACAGGCUAAAACCCUGCACUGCAUCCUGAGGAAUUCCCAGUACCCCUGGAUGAGCUGGUAUCAACAGGACCUCCAGGGGCAACUACACCUGCUGGCCACUCUGCGGAGUCCUGGGGAUGAGGAGGUCGUAUCCCAUCCUGGAGCACAUUACCAAGCCACGAGGGUCGACAGCACGGAGCUGAGGCUGCGCGUGACCAAUGUGACCCAGGGCAGAACUCUCUACUGCACCUGCAGUACCAGACACAGUGAGAAACCCCCCUUGGAGAAGUGA